GCUACCAUGCAUGUCGAGCGGCAGCGACAACAUUGAACCUUCGGGGGAUUUGUUGGGCGGCGAGCGGCGGACGGGUGAGUAAUGCCUGGGAAAUUGCCCUGAUGUGGGGGAUAACCAUUGGAAACGAUGGCUAAUACCGCAUGAUAGCUUCGGCUCAAAGAGGGGGACCUUCGGGACCCUCUCGCGUCAGGAUAUGCCCAGGUGGGAUUAGCUAGUUGGUGAGGUAAGGGCUCACCAAGGCGACGAUCCCUAGCUGGUCUGAGAGGAUGAUCAGCCACACUGGAACUGAGACACGGUCCAGACUCCUACGGGAGGCAGCAGUGGGGAAUAUUGCACAAUGGGCGCAAGCCUGAUGCAGCCAUGCCGCGUGUAUGAAGAAGGCCUUCGGGUUGUAAAGUACUUUCAGCAGUGAGGAAGGGGGUAUCGUUAAUAGCGGUAUCUUUUGGACGUUAGCUGCAGAAGAAGCACCGGCUAACUCCGUGCCAGCAGCCGCGGUAAUACGGAGGGUGCGAGCGUUAAUCGGAAUUACUGGGCGUAAAGCGCAUGCAGGUGGUUUGUUAAGUCAGAUGUGAAAGCCCGGGGCUCAACCUCGGAAUUGCAUUUGAAACUGGCAGGCUAGAGUACUGUAGAGGGGGGUUAGAAUUUCAGGUGUAGCGGUGAAAUGCGUAGAGAUCUGAAGGAAUACCGGUGGCGAAGGCGGCCCCCUGGACAGAUACUGACACUCAGAUGCGAAAGCGUGGGGAGCAAACAGGAUUAGAUACCCUGGUAGUCCACGCCGUAAACGAUGUCUACUUGGAGGUUGUGGCCUUGAGCCGUGGCUUUCGGAGCUAACGCGUUAAGUAGACCGCCUGGGGAGUACGGUCGCAAGAUUAAAACUCAAAUGAAUUCGGGGGCCCGCACAAGCGGUGGAGCAUGUGGUUUAAUUCGAUGCAACGCGAAGAACCUUACCUACUCUUGACAUCCAGAGAACUUAGCAGAGAUGCUUUGGUGCCUUCGGGAACUCUGAGACAGGUGCUGCAUGGCUGUCGUCAGCUCGUGUUGUGAAAUGUUGGGUUAAGUCCCGCAACGAGCGCAACCCUUAUCCUUGUUUGCCAGCGAGUAAUGUCGGGAACUCCAGGGAGACUGCCGGUGAUAAACCGGAGGAAGGUGGAGACGACGUCAAGUCAUCAUGGCCCUUACGAGUAGGGCUACACACGUGCUACAAUGGCGCAUACAGAGGGCGGCCAACUUGCGAAAGUGAGCGAAUCCCAAAAAGUGCGUCGUAGUCCGGAUUGGAGUCUGCAACUCGACUCCAUGAAGUCGGAAUCGCUAGUAAUCGUGAAUCAGAAUGUCA
This 1333-nucleotide ribosomal RNA is filed under the name Vibrio sp. NJ-2. RNAcentral's name for it is "bacterial SSU rRNA". It matches the Rfam family "Bacterial small subunit ribosomal RNA", at positions 48 to 1359 of the family's 1533-position model. The record is from RNAcentral. Lineage: Bacteria; Pseudomonadati; Pseudomonadota; Gammaproteobacteria; Vibrionales; Vibrionaceae.